GUUGCUACCAAUAAUCCUCAUCCCCGGGUGCUAAGGUGCAGCUGAGUUACAGAUUUGGACUUGAUGAAGAGCCUACAAAUAGUGCUUGCACCUCUAAGAAUAAAAUACCACUUCAAAGUGUCAGCCCUUUGGAUCCUCACUUUUUAGUAUUCAGGAAGAUAAGCAAGCCAGCUAGCAAGGGUCUGCAAUCCUCCUUGCUGUAUUUUAAAAGCAGAACCUGCAGCAACUACAAAGCCCUAAGAGAGGCAAGGCUUCAAUUCUGUGGACACCAGUGACAUUCUCAGGGGUGCAUCUCUCGAUCUCAGCCCGUGCUUCCCACCUCCUGCAAAGGUAGCCAUGCGGCAAAUUAAACAACAGUGGAUAUGAAGGAUUCCAAUUUCAAGGGAGAAAAGAAGGAACCUGUAACAGAGCCUGGAAAUCACAGCUAUUAAAGCAGGGAGACUUUCUGAAGCUACAGAACUCAGCAGCUCCUGCACGUUGGGUACCACCAAGUUCCAACUACAGAGCUUGGGAAGGAGGAAACACCAAAUUCAGAGGGAGUCAGUCCUAAAAACUGCAGUGAUACAGUCCAGGCUGAGGAAAGCACAUGCUUAACCAUGAGCAACUUCAGAAGCACACGGCAGGAUUUCCUCUUCCUUGCAGCUCUCUGUGAAGCAGUGGCACAUGAAUGUUUUUAGACACCCACCUGUGGUGUGGUGGUUCUUUCCCUUUGUUUGGUGGCUCUGACAGUAUGGAGGAAAGAUGAGGUGUGCCCUGGACUCAUUGCUCUGCAGUUUUCCCUCACUCUUCUACCUGUCUCCCUUUGGACAGCUCCAGAGCACUUUAGCUUCAGGACUAAGUUGUUUCUACUUCUGAGAAAAUAUGAACUCAAUUCAUUAUUUCUGCUGAAAAUGAGUUCAUGUUGUAAAUCAAGACGAGAUUUCAGAAGAGGUGCAUUUAUGCUGGAAGGAGGAAAGAAGAAAUUCCCGUCAGUAUCCUGUCACUGCUUUUGGCACAUCAUGUUUGGUGGCAUAUUACAUGCUGCUGCACAAGCUUCUUCUACAAAAUACCUGCUUCUCAUUCAAGUUAAAUUGCAAAGCUGCCAUGAGGUUCAACAUGACAGGAAGGCUUUGUGAGCUUUGCUGCUGUUGGAGUCACCACUGUGCUCUUCCUGAAGCUCUGCCACCACACCAUCAAACAGGUACAAGUUUCUGUGCUCCUGCACUCUGCAAUUUCACACACUUCUCUUGUAUAAGGGCAUGCUUGAAUUUUUGCCUUCCAAUAUGUUUUAACUGAGUACCAGUGACAGGUGCUGCAUAACACACAUGGUGCACAACUGCAGCUGCCAAAGCUUCCCUGCAGAUUGGUCCCUUCAGUGCUGCUAAUUCCUUGCUGUGAACCUGAGUGAUCAGACUGAAAUCUGGAAAAGGAGCCCAGCCUACAUCACUCAAAAGAAAUCUCCUUUACCCUCUCCUGAUCUCCUACAUCUGAAAGACUUCCAGCCAAGGUGCUGCCAUCUGUGCUCACAAGAGGGAGGAGAUUCUACAGCUUUCCAUCUUUUGUAUUCUUCCAUGUAAUCUCUAUUUAUGUGACCAAAACACUAGGAUUAGAUGAAAUACACAAAAGUAUUCCCAAAAGAAAUGGCUUGAGCAAUUUGAUUGCUUAUUUCCCAGGAGCUCUCCUCAUGUUAAAACCUCUCAAUCUCUAAAAUUAGUAGCUGGGGAAGAACAGAUCAUGAAAGAGCAAACUAAGAAACAAAAAACCACAAUCACACAGCUAUAUCAGCUGGAUUUGUGCUCUGGAUCAGCUUUUGCUACUUAAAUAUGUAUUACUGACAAAGAUUUCUUAGUGUUGUCUUUAUUCAGAGAGUUACUCUCAGUCAAAUUACUGGCUAAAAUCCAAAUAGGUAAAUUCUGAUUCCUUUAACUCUUGAAUGUACCCAUUUCAAAGCACUUACUCUGCACUCUGCUGCAUUUUUCUCUGUUAAUCAAUACCUUUCUAUGACAAGACCCUGAAAAUCCAAAAUGUGCUAUACAACUAAAUAAGAAGCCACAGCUUGCAGUCCUUGGCUCCAGGCCAUGCCACCCCUCCAUACAGAGCCAGACAGGCACAGGUAUCCACCUUCACACACGUUGGUUGUAACCUAAACUGAGGGAUAAUUGCAAAGGCUUUGACAAAUGAGAUAAAAAUGUAACUUGGAGCUUGGGAUGAAUGAUAAAUAUACAAAGUUUGGAUGAUCUGAGGCAAGGAUGCUACAUGGAUUUGUAGCUGGCAUCUACUUCCAGAAGCCCAUUUCCAGGAAAGUAUUGGCAAACACAGAUUUACGUGAUCUGUGGGCAUGUGGAUUGUAGGGAAAAUGGAGUCACACAGUUUUUCUCUGUAAAUCUGUACACUUGAAAGAAGACAUAGGAAAAAUGGAAAUAACAAUCUCCCCACCGUGCUCUGUUUCUUCUAAGUGUUUCCAUGCUGAUGGCUGGAAACACAUACUAAAGACACCUGGAUUUUUCUUCACUGCAACAACUGCACAUUUGCCUCCACCAGUUCAAGGAUGCUGCAACAAAACAUGCACAAAAUAAAGUAUGCCCCUCUCCCAAAACUUGAAAACACCAUGAAGUUGAUGUUUCUGUAAUACUUGCAAUUCAUCAUUUACAGAGUACCAUGAUCUUCAGGGUAACCUGGAACAUGCAGAGAGCUCAUUAGCACAUUAGUUGUCAUGGGGAAUAUAAUUCUAGCUCCCAUUUCUGGCAAAUUAAAUUUUUAUAAUUAGGUCUGCUCUUCAAUACAUUUUGUCCAUCAGAAUCAGACAAUAAUUUUGUUUUGCAUAGUCUUGUGCAACCAUAAGGGCCUCAACCAUAUAGUGAAAAUUUGUGUAGAGAAAAAUAUAGAGAAAAUAUACUCCAUAGAACACCAAACAGUUUAGGAGAAACUGUCCAUAUGAAAGAUU
Zonotrichia leucophrys gambelii is the source of this 2923-nucleotide long non-coding RNA. RefSeq lists it as uncharacterized. The transcript is spliced from 6 exons. NCBI's taxonomy places the organism in Eukaryota, Metazoa, Chordata, Aves, Passeriformes, Passerellidae. The record is from RefSeq and is a predicted model, not a curated record.